Molecule: signal recognition particle RNA, 298 nt
Filed under: Saimiri boliviensis boliviensis (Bolivian squirrel monkey)
Lineage: Eukaryota; Metazoa; Chordata; Mammalia; Primates; Cebidae
Description: Metazoan signal recognition particle RNA (ENSSBOG00000001741.1)
Rfam family: Metazoan signal recognition particle RNA
About the family: The signal recognition particle (SRP) is a universally conserved ribonucleoprotein. It is involved in the co-translational targeting of proteins to membranes.
Source: RNAcentral
GUCAGGGUGAUGGCGUGUGCCUAUAGUCCCAGCUACUUGGGAGGCUGAGGCUGGAGGACCGCUUGAGCCCAGAAGUUCUGGGCUGUAGUGCGCUAUGCUGAUCAGGUGUCCGCACUAAGUUCAGCAUCAAUAUGGUGACCUCCCAGAAGCGGGGGACCACCAGGUUGCAAAAGGAGGGGUGAACUGGCCCAGGUUGGAAACGGAGCAGGUCAAAACUCCUGUGCUGAUCAGUAGUGGGAUCGCGCCUGUAAAGAGCCACUGCACUCCAGCCUGGGCAACAUAGCGAGACCCCAUCUCU